AACGAACGCUGGCGGCAUGCCUAACACAUGCAAGUCGAACGAUGCCUUCGGGCAUAGUGGCGCACGGGUGAGUAACGCGUGGGAACCUGCCCUGUGGUACGGAAUAACUCCGGGAAACUGGAGCUAAUACCGGAUGUGUCCCCUGGGACAAAGAUUUAUCGCCACGGGAUGGGCCCGCGUAGGAUUAGCUUGUUGGUGGGGUAACGGCCUACCAAGGCUACGAUCCUUAGCUGGUCUGAGAGGAUGAGCAGCCACACUGGGACUGAGACACGGCCCAGACUCCGACGGGAGGCAGCAGUGGGGAAUACUGGACAGUGGGCGGAAGCAUGAUCCAGCAAUGCCGCGUGAGUGAUGAAGGCCUUCGGGUUGUAAAGCUCUUUCGCACGCGACGAUGAUGACGGUAGCGAGAGAAGAAGCCCCGGCUAACUUCGUG
This 433-nucleotide ribosomal RNA is filed under the name uncultured bacterium. RNAcentral's name for it is "partial 16S ribosomal RNA". It matches the Rfam family "Bacterial small subunit ribosomal RNA", at positions 29 to 507 of the family's 1533-position model. The record is from RNAcentral.